RNAcentral lists this ribosomal RNA (467 nucleotides) under uncultured bacterium. RNAcentral's name for it is "partial 16S ribosomal RNA". It matches the Rfam family "Bacterial small subunit ribosomal RNA", at positions 28 to 506 of the family's 1533-position model. The record is from RNAcentral.
GACGAACGCUGGCGGCGUGCUUAACACAUGCAAGUCGAACGGAAAGGCCCUGCUUUUGUGGGGUGCUCGAGUGGCGAACGGGUGAGUAACACGUGAGUAACCUGCCCUUGACUUUGGGAUAACUUCAGGAAACCGGGGCUAAUACCGGAUAGGAGCUCCUGCUGCAUGGUGGGGGUUGGAAAGUUUCGGCGGUUGGGGAUGGACUCGCGGCUUAUCAGCUUGUUGGUGGGGUAGUGGCUUACCAAGGCUUUGACGGGUAGCCGGCCUGAGAGGGUGACCGGCCAAAUUGGGACUGAGAUACGGCCCGGACCCCUGCGGGGGGCAGCGGGGGGAAAAAUUGCAAAAUGGGCGGAGGCCGGGUGCAGCAACGCCGCGGGGGGGAGGACGGCCUUGGGGUGGUAAACCGCUUUCGCCUGGGACGAAGCGGGAGGGACGGUAAUGGGUAAAGAAGCACCGGCUAACUACGU